GACGAACGCUGGCGGCGUGCCUAAUACAUGCAGGUAGAACGCACAGUUUAUACCGUAGCUUGCUACACCAUAAACUGUGAGUUGCGAACGGGCGAGUAACGCGUAGGUAACCUGCCUGGUAGCGGGGGAUAACUAUUGGAAACGAUAGCUAAUACCGCAUAAUAUUGAUUAUUGCAUGAUAAUUGAUUGAAAGAUGCUAUUGCAUCACUACCAGAUGGACCUGCGUUGUAUUAGCUAGUAGGUGAGGUAACGGCUCACCUAGGCGACGAUACAUAGCCGACCUGAGAGGGUGAUCGGCCACACUGGGACUGAGACACGGCCCAGACUCCUACGGGAGGCAGCAGUAGGGAAUCUUCGGCAAUGGACGAAAGUCUGACCGAGCAACGCCGCGUGAGUGAAGAAGGUUUUCGGAUCGUAAAGCUCUGUUGUAAGAGAAGAACGGGUGUGAGAGUGGAAAGUUCACACUGUGACGGUAUCUUACCAGAAAGGGACGGCUAACUACGUG
RNAcentral lists this ribosomal RNA (505 nucleotides) under uncultured bacterium. Its description in RNAcentral is "partial 16S ribosomal RNA". It matches the Rfam family "Bacterial small subunit ribosomal RNA", at positions 28 to 507 of the family's 1533-position model. The record is from RNAcentral.